Molecule: ribosomal RNA, 120 nt
Filed under: Periophthalmus magnuspinnatus
Lineage: Eukaryota; Metazoa; Chordata; Actinopteri; Gobiiformes; Gobiidae
Source: RNAcentral
CUGGGCAAUUACACCACCUUGAGAGUGGCAGAUCUCGCCAGAUCUCAGAAGUUCAGGAGGGUUGAGCCUGGUUAGGACUUGGAUGGGAGACCGCUGGGUAUAACAGCGAGAAAGCACUUC